RNAcentral lists this ribosomal RNA (392 nucleotides) under uncultured bacterium. RNAcentral describes it as "partial 16S ribosomal RNA". It matches the Rfam family "Bacterial small subunit ribosomal RNA", at positions 523 to 918 of the family's 1533-position model. The record is from RNAcentral.
CUACGGAGGAUCCGAGCGUUAUCCGGAUUUAUUGGGUUUAAAGGGUGCGCAGGCGGCCAUUUAAGUCAGCGGUUAAAUCGUGGGGCUCAACCCCAUUCUGCCGUUGAUACUGGGUGGCUUGAUUGCGGUCGAGGUUGGCGGAAUUCGUUGUGUAGCGGUGAAAUGCAUAGAUAUGACGAAGAACACCGAUUGCGUAGGCAGCUGACCAGACCGCAAAUGACGCUCAUGCACGAAAGGGCGGGGAUCGAACAGGAUUAGAUACCCUGGUAGUCCGCACAGUAAACGAUGAAUACUUGUUUUCGGCGAUAUAAUGUCGGAGGCAAAGCGAAAGCGAUAAGUAUUCCACCUGGGGAGUACGCCGGCAACGGUGAAACUAAAAGGAAUUGACGGGG